This 139-nucleotide ribosomal RNA is filed under the name uncultured eukaryote. Its description in RNAcentral is "partial 18S ribosomal RNA". It matches the Rfam family "Eukaryotic small subunit ribosomal RNA", at positions 1299 to 1458 of the family's 1831-position model. The record is from RNAcentral.
UGGUGGAGUGAUUUGUCUGGUUAAUUCCGAUAACGAACGAGACCUUAACCUGCUAACUAGUUACACUAAUCUCUGAUUGGUGGCCAACUUCUUAGAGGGACUAUCGAUCUUAAUUCGAUGGAAGUUUGAGGCAAUAACA